Molecule: long non-coding RNA, 126 nt
Organism: Tarenaya hassleriana
Lineage: Eukaryota; Viridiplantae; Streptophyta; Magnoliopsida; Brassicales; Cleomaceae
Exons: 2
Source: RefSeq, a predicted model, not a curated record
UAUUUCCACCAUCCUUUUUCGAUGUCAUGGAACAUUUACCGAUCCACCUACCACGAGAAGCUGAACUAGGGGGACCAGUUCAAUUCAGAUGGAUGUAUCCGUUCGAACGGUUCAUGUACCAUUUGA